AAUGGACGAAAGUCGUGACGGAGCAACGCCGCGUUGAGUGAUGAAGGUGUUCGGAUGCGUAAAACUCUGUGUGUGUAGGGAAGAACAAGUACCGUUCGAAUGAGGGCGGUACCUUGACGGUACCUAACCAGAAAGCCACGGCUAACUACGUGCCAGCAGCCGCGGUAAUACGUAGGUGGCAAGCGUUGUCCGGAAUUAUUGGGCGUAAAGCGCGCGCAGGCGGUUUCUUAAGUCUGAUGUGAAAGCCCCCGGCUCAACCGGGGAGGGUCAUUGGAAACUGGGGAACUUGAGUGCAGAAGAGGAGAGUGGAAUUCCACGUGUAGCGGUGAAAUGCGUAGAGAUGUGGAGGAACACCAGUGGCGAAGGCGACUCUCUGGUCUGUAACUGACGCUGAGGCGCGAAAGCGUGGGGAGCGAACAGGAUUAGAUACCCUGGUAGUCCACGCCGUAAACGAUGAGUGCUAAGUGUGAGAGGGUUUCCGCCCUUUAGUGCUGCAGCAAACGCAUUAAGCACUCCGCCUGGGGAGUACGGUCGCAAGACUGAAACUCAAAGGAAUNGACGGGGGCCCGCACAAGCGGUGGAGCAUGUGGUUUAAUUCGAAGCAACGCGAAGAACCUUANCNNGUCUUGACAU
RNAcentral lists this ribosomal RNA (633 nucleotides) under bacterium E-1-48-2F. RNAcentral describes it as "bacterial SSU rRNA". It matches the Rfam family "Bacterial small subunit ribosomal RNA", at positions 370 to 987 of the family's 1533-position model. The record is from RNAcentral.